RNAcentral lists this transfer RNA (74 nucleotides) under Puniceicoccales bacterium. Its description in RNAcentral is "tRNA-Cys". It matches the Rfam family "tRNA". From Rfam's summary of the family: Transfer RNA (tRNA) molecules are approximately 80 nucleotides in length. Their secondary structure includes four short double-helical elements and three loops (D, anti-codon, and T loops). Lineage: Bacteria; Pseudomonadati; Verrucomicrobiota; Opitutia; Puniceicoccales. The record is from RNAcentral.
GGCGCGAUAGCCAAGUGGUAAGGCCGAGGUCUGCAAAACCUUUAUCAUCGGUUCGAUUCCGAUUCGCGCCUCCA